Molecule: long non-coding RNA, 224 nt
Organism: Pollicipes pollicipes
Lineage: Eukaryota; Metazoa; Arthropoda; Thecostraca; Pollicipedomorpha; Pollicipedidae
Exons: 3
Source: RefSeq, a predicted model, not a curated record
GGUAGAGUCGCGAACUGUGCGUUGGGUAUUCGGCUUUGAAGGCAAAUAAUUCCGGAUAUUGAUUGCAAUGGGCAUCAACAGCAAAAAAGUGUUACUUGCAUUGGGUCUGGGUGCCUUCACAGGCAUUGCUCUUUAUUUGCUGUACAAAAAGAACGAAGACGACGACGACCUGGAGAACUUCAGUGAAACGUCCACCUCACGACAUACGCUUAUCGAAAUGAAAA